RNAcentral lists this transfer RNA (74 nucleotides) under Phycisphaerae bacterium. Its description in RNAcentral is "tRNA-Arg". It matches the Rfam family "tRNA". Rfam says of the family: Transfer RNA (tRNA) molecules are approximately 80 nucleotides in length. Lineage: Bacteria; Pseudomonadati; Planctomycetota; Phycisphaerae. The record is from RNAcentral. RNAcentral also lists the same sequence under 3 other names.
GCGCCCGUAGCUCAGCUGGAUAGAGCAACGGAUUUCUAAUCCGUAGGUCGCAGGUUCGAGUCCUGCCGGGCGUG